ACAUUAGAAUUAGCUGGGGUGCUUGUUAAAAAUUCAGUUAUCCAUCUUACUUUUACCAACUCAGAUUCUUCAGCCAUUUGCAUUGAUAGCCACUCCCCAGGCAUUGCUGUGCUGGGAAGGAAUGCUUAAACCUGCCACAGCCAUGUUGUGAUUAUGAAGGGAGCCAACCUGAGGACAAAUCACAUUUUCUGAGGAUGGCAAAGCAAACAGAUGCAAAGAUCCUGGGUCUUUGAUGGCAUUGUGGAGUUGCUGGACAGCUUCCCUACUUUUCACGUUCCUAUGACACAAUGUUAUCAUCGUCCUUGUUGUAUCAGCCAGGGAAGCUAAAGAAUGAUGCGCUCCACCACAAUGAGGGACUAAACAACAAAAAGGAGGCAUGAGAUUCAGGAAGCAAAAAAGGAAUUCAUCAUAUGAAGGAAUGAAGAUGUUCAAAAGAAAACCUUCAACCUCAUGCCAGAAGAUGUUCCCAGCUGUAUAAAUGCCUAACUCAGCUUCUAGUCCUUGGAAAUUAAGCAGCUCAUUGAAAAUUCAAGAGUUCCAGCCAGAAGCUACAGCUAGGCUCAGAUGUUGAAAUCAGUCUCUCCUGCUGAUCAAACUGUGACAUAGCCAAAGCAAUAGGCCUGGCUUUUCAGUUAAUUCUCAGCGAGCCCUUCCUUUCCCUCUGUAGUGGUUGGUGUGGCAUUUAUAAUAUAACUCCUUUAUGUA
Long non-coding RNA from Homo sapiens (human), 705 nucleotides. Ensembl annotates it as GNAO1 divergent transcript. Its record names the gene GNAO1-DT. The record is from Ensembl. Lineage: Eukaryota; Metazoa; Chordata; Mammalia; Primates; Hominidae.